AACGAACGCUGGCGGCAGGCUUAACACAUGCAAGUCGAACGCCCCGCAAGGGGAGUGGCAGACGGGUGAGUAACGCGUGGGAAUCUACCUAGUUCUACGGAACAACAGAGGGAAACUUCUGCUAAUACCGUAUACGCCCUAAGGGGGAAAGAUUUAUCGGAAUUAGAUGAGCCCGCGUAAGAUUAGCUAGUUGGUGGGGUAAUGGCCUACCAAGGCGACGAUCUUUAGCUGGUCUGAGAGGAUGAUCAGCCACACUGGGACUGAGACACGGCCCAGACUCCUACGGGAGGCAGCAGUGGGGAAUAUUGGACAAUGGGCGAAAGCCUGAUCCAGCCAUGCCGCGUGAGUGAUGAAGGCCUUAGGGUUGUAAAGCUCUUUCAGUAGGGAAGAUAAUGACGGUACCUACAGAAGAAGCCCCGGCUAACCUCG
Molecule: ribosomal RNA, 429 nt
Filed under: uncultured bacterium
Lineage: Bacteria
Description: bacterial SSU rRNA
Rfam family: Bacterial small subunit ribosomal RNA
Source: RNAcentral